Molecule: long non-coding RNA, 505 nt
Filed under: Coturnix japonica (Japanese quail)
Lineage: Eukaryota; Metazoa; Chordata; Aves; Galliformes; Phasianidae
Description: lncRNA (ENSCJPG00005002816.1)
Source: RNAcentral
AUGAGGAUCUAUGGGGUCUCUAUGGGGAUCUAUGCGGUCUCUAUGGGGUCUCAAUGGGGUUCUAUGGGUCUUCAUGGGGUUCUAUGGGUCUCUAUGGGGAUCUAUGGGGUCUCUAUGGGGUCCCUAUGGGCUCUAUGGAAUCUCUAUGGGAUUCUGUGGGGUCUCUAUGGGGUUCUAUGGAGUCUCUAUGGUUCUCCAUGGGGAUCUAUGGGGUCUCUAUGGGGAUCUAUGGGAUCCCAGUGGGGUUCUAUGGGUCUCUGUGGGGUUCCAUGUGGUCUCUAUGGGGUUUUACAGGGUCCCUAUGGGGUUCUAUGGGGUCUCAAUGGGGGUUUAUGGGGUCUCUGGUUCUCCAUGGGGAUCUAUGGGGUCUCUAUGGGGUCCCUAUGGGGUCUCUAUGGUUCUCCAUGGUUCUCCAUGGAUCUGUUGGGUCUCUAUGGAGUCUCUCUAUGGAAUCUCAUGGGAUUCUGCGUUGGGGGUCCCUACUGGGCUCUAUGGAGUCUCUAUG